This 185-nucleotide ribosomal RNA is filed under the name Macrocyclops distinctus. Its description in RNAcentral is "partial 18S ribosomal RNA". It matches the Rfam family "Eukaryotic small subunit ribosomal RNA", at positions 1649 to 1831 of the family's 1831-position model. Lineage: Eukaryota; Metazoa; Arthropoda; Copepoda; Cyclopoida; Cyclopidae. The record is from RNAcentral.
GUCCCUGCCCUUUGUACACACCGCCCGUCGCUACUACCGAUUGAACGUCUUAGUGAGGUAUUCGGACUGGGCCUCUGGUGGUUAACGCCUCCAGUGUUGCCCGGGAAGACUCCCAAACUUGAGCGUUUAGAGGAAGUAAAAGUCGUAACAAGGUUACUGUAGGUGAACCUGCAGUAGGAUCAUUA